AUUGAACGCUGGCGGCAUGCUUUACACAUGCAAGUCGAACGGUAACAGGCCUUCGGGUGCUGACGAGUGGCGAACGGGUGAGUAAUGCAUCGGAACGUGCCCAGAGGUGGGGGAUAACGCAGCGAAAGCUGUGCUAAUACCGCAUGUGAUCUGAGGAUGAAAGCGGGGGACCAGGCAGCAAUGUUUGGCCUCGCGCCUUUGGAGCGGCCGAUGUCAGAUUAGGUAGUUGGUGGGGUAAAGGCCUACCAAGCCGACGAUCUGUAGCUGGUCUGAGAGGACGACCAGCCACACUGUGACUGAGACACGGCCCAGACUCCUACGGGAGACAGCAGUGGGAAAUUUUGGACAAUGGGCACAAACCUAAUCCAGCAAGGCCGCGUGCGGGAAGAAGUCCUUCGGGUUGUAAACCGCUUUUGUACGGAAAGAAAAGGCUCUGGCUAAUACCUGGGGCUGAUGACGGUACCGUAAGAAGAAGCACCGGCUAACUACGU
Molecule: ribosomal RNA, 491 nt
Filed under: uncultured bacterium
Lineage: Bacteria
Description: partial 16S ribosomal RNA
Rfam family: Bacterial small subunit ribosomal RNA
Source: RNAcentral